RNAcentral lists this long non-coding RNA (1268 nucleotides) under Lynx canadensis (Canada lynx). RNAcentral's name for it is "lncRNA (ENSLCNG00005022338.1)". Lineage: Eukaryota; Metazoa; Chordata; Mammalia; Carnivora; Felidae. The record is from RNAcentral.
GGACAGAUCCGGCACCCUCCCCCACAUCUUCUACCACCCAGCGGCGCUGGUCCUUUCUCUCCUGGGAGGUUUUAGGCUCUCCAGAGGGCAGGCAAGGGGCUCCAGGACCUCUGGCAGCUGCUGGCCCAGAGGGUCCCAGUCCCCUCCCCCAAUCCCCAGGCACAGUCUCCGUCCUGGCCCAGAAUGCGCUUGGCAGCAUCUUGGCUAAAGUGCCAUGGUGAGCGGGCUGCAAAGAAGGCCCCGGAAGAGAAGAGGGAAGAGCUGCUUGGGCCCCCAUCCCUCCCCCUCUUCCAUUUUGGGGUGGGCUAGGUCUUCAGAGAGGAGAGCAAGGGUCUCGAAUAGGGGCCCGUGGGGUAACUCGUAUCACUUUCGUGUUCCUUGUCGAAGCCUGUUCCCUGCAUGCUCUGGGAAUGGUGAUGGGCCUUUCGAGAGGCCCCCUGGGGACUGGGACCAUCAUCCUCCAGGAUCAAGCACAGAGACUCCUACAGCCCCACCCCCUCUCCAGCGCCGCAGAGAGAGCAAGAAUUGGGUCUGGCACCUGCCUCGUCCGGGUUGGCAGAGAUGGAACCAUCCAGCCUAGCGGAAACCCCUCCCGGCUGCCCUGACCUUCACGCCUGGCUCCCCUCAUCCAGAUCCACCAACCCUUGGCUGCCUGCCUGCCCUUCCCAUGGACUGUACCACCUCCCCGGCCCGACCCAGCAAGACAGAUCCUCAGUGCGACGGGGUUCUGGGCCUCUGAGAGCAUCCCUGCUUCCACGGGCAAUGCUUUUCGGCAGGAAUGUUAUUGGUGAUAAGGAGAUGAGGGUAAGAGAACCCACUACUCAGAAAACCAGCUUUCCAUAAACACGUUUCUUAACUCCAGACUCACCGAGGCUGCAUCUGUCUUUCUGGAAGCAUAGCCCACGUUCGUGGGAAUCUCCCAUGCUCUACUUAGAAGCCAGGACACCUGUAUUUUCUAACCAUGCUGGGUAAUUGUCACGCACACCCCUAAGCUAAGAUUUAUCUCCCAGAGUUAGACGGAUGCCAUUUCAAGGGUACAGGGAUCGCGAGGCCCCAGAUUACCAAGAACACUCAGAACACUCAGAAAAGUCACCUCCGACCCACCCCCGACCUCUGAGAGGCCCCACCUCCUACAAUUACUGACUUCAUUGCCCCUAAACCUCCUUGAAUGGUUUAGAAACUGGCUUUCCAGGGGCACCUGGGUGGCUCAGUCAAUUAAGGGUCUGAGUUCAGCUCAGGUCAUGAUCGCACAGCUCAUGGGUUCAAGC